Molecule: unclassified non-coding RNA, 267 nt
Filed under: Poriella ellipsospora
Lineage: Eukaryota; Fungi; Basidiomycota; Agaricomycetes; Polyporales; Polyporaceae
Description: Perenniporia ellipsospora partial internal transcribed spacer region
Rfam family: Eukaryotic small subunit ribosomal RNA (bases 1-46)
Source: RNAcentral
AAGUCGUAACAAGGUUUCCGUAGGUGAACCUGCGGAAGGAUCAUUAUCGAGUUUUGAAAGGGGUUGUAGCUGGCCUUCUUUGGCACCGUGCACGCCCUGCUCAUCCACUCUACACCUGUGCACUCACUGUAGGUUUCAAAGGUGACGCGAGUUUCGGCUCGUGGAGCUUUUGGGCUUACGUUUCACUAUAAACGCUUUAGUAUCAGAAUGUGUAUCGCGAUGUAACGCAUCUAUAUACAACUUUCAGCAACGGAUCUCUUGGCUCUC